AAAAAGGCAAACCCUGGGUUUCCGUGUCCACCUUUAACUGUCCGUCUUAUAUGAAUUUUUUUAUAAUUCGUAUUUUCAUUGUUGUUAGAUGAUAAAACAUGAUUAAUAUUUUAUGCGUGACUUGUCUUUUUAAUUUUUUUCAUAAUUUUUUCAAAUAAGACAGGGCACGGAAACCAGAGUUUGUCUUUUUU
MicroRNA precursor from Oryza sativa Japonica Group (Japanese rice), 191 nucleotides. It matches the Rfam family "MIR812 microRNA precursor family". The record is from Rfam. NCBI's taxonomy places the organism in Eukaryota, Viridiplantae, Streptophyta, Magnoliopsida, Poales, Poaceae.